UACGGAGGGGGCAAGCGUUGUUCGGAGUCACUGGGCGUAAAGGGCGCGUAGGCGGUGCAUCAAGUCAGGCGUGAAAGCCCCGGGCUUAACCUGGGAAUUGCGCUUGAUACUGACGCGCUAGAGAGCGGGAGAGGAUGGCGGAAUUCCCAGUGUAGAGGUGAAAUGCGCAGAUAUCGGGAGGAACACCGGUGGCGAAGGCGGUUCUCUGGGCCUGUUCUGACGCUGAGGAGCGAAAGCGUGGGGAGCAAACAGG
Molecule: ribosomal RNA, 253 nt
Filed under: uncultured bacterium
Lineage: Bacteria
Description: partial 16S ribosomal RNA
Rfam family: Bacterial small subunit ribosomal RNA
Source: RNAcentral